Molecule: long non-coding RNA, 584 nt
Filed under: Sorghum bicolor (sorghum)
Lineage: Eukaryota; Viridiplantae; Streptophyta; Magnoliopsida; Poales; Poaceae
Description: long non-coding RNA (SBIC_LNC009505)
Source: RNAcentral
CUUCCAGCUACGCUACUGGCUCCACGGCCACCCUCUCAUGUAUUUACUACUCCUAUUAAUACUCCUGUGAGGAAACUCAAUGACACAAGUAAGUCCUAAACUAGUUAUUGCCGUCAUCUUGUCUAAUAAACUAUGUUGUCCUUUGUGCAGCCUCCGUCAGCGGGUUCAAACGCGGCACCUGGCAUUUCUCCAACACCUGCCAUCUCGCCGACACCUCCAGAUGAUGGCUCUCCUGCGGUACGCGGCCAAGGUGUCCCUCGUAUCAAUUGGGGGCCUUCACAGUGAGUCAGGUCGACUUAGCUUGAGAUGCAGUUAGUUUGGAGUAUGUGGACUAUGUGGUGAUGGAUUUAUUUUGUUUAAACAUGUGAACUUUGUGGAAUGUAGUUAUUGAACAUGUUGGAGUUAGUUUGGAUGUAUGUGACUUUAGUUUGGAGUAUUUGAACUUGUUACGAUGGACAAAGUGAUGGAAAUAAUCAUUUAUGUGGUAUAUAUUGUCAUCGAUGUCGAUUAUGUGAGCUAUAGGCUCCUGGAUGUGAAAUAUAUUAUUUUCUGGAAAUAUAUGUGUCAUAUGAUCUUCUCAGUAG